GGCCAAGUUUUCGACCUUCAGGUUCCUCUCGUGAACCUUCUAAGAUCCAGAAGAGGGUAGGAUUUUGGUACGUGUAAGUGAGAUUAGCUUAAAUGGUUCAUGCCUUCUUCCUUUAUUCUCUUUUUCCUUUGUCCUCUAGUGAUAUAUAACCGCUAUCCUGCUACAGUGCUAUCUGUCGCUAUCAUACAAAGUCGUACGUAUGGACGUACUCCCCUCUCUCUCUCUAUCGUCAGGCGGCUAUUUAAUUCCCUCCAGUGCUCGUGCUGACAGGGUCAUGGGUGU
This 282-nucleotide long non-coding RNA is filed under the name Manihot esculenta (cassava). RNAcentral describes it as "long non-coding RNA (MESC_LNC010818)". The record is from RNAcentral. Lineage: Eukaryota; Viridiplantae; Streptophyta; Magnoliopsida; Malpighiales; Euphorbiaceae.